GACGAACGCUGGCGGCGUGCUUAACACAUGCAAGUCGUACGGUAAGGCCCUUUCGGGGGUCCACGAGUGGCGAACGGGUGAGUAACACGUGAGUAACCUGCCCACAACUUUGGGAUAACGCUAGGAAACUGGUGCUAAUACUGGAUAUGUGCUCCUGCUGCAUGGUGGGGGUUGGAAAGCUCCGGCGGUUGUGGAUGGACUCGCGGCCUAUCAGCUUGUUGGUGGGGUAGUGGCCUACCAAGGCGGCGACGGGUAGCCGGCCUGAGAGGGUGACCGGCCACAUUGGGACUGAGAUACGGCCCAGACUCCUACGGGAGGCAGCAGUGGGGAAUCUUGAUCAAUGGGCGCAAGCCUGAUGCAGCAACGCCGCGUGCGGGAUGACGGCCUUCGGGUUGUAAACCGCUUUCAGCAGGGACGAAGCUUUUUGUGACGGUACCUGCAGAAGAAGCACCGGCUAACUACGUG
Molecule: ribosomal RNA, 465 nt
Filed under: uncultured bacterium
Lineage: Bacteria
Description: partial 16S ribosomal RNA
Rfam family: Bacterial small subunit ribosomal RNA
Source: RNAcentral